Molecule: unclassified non-coding RNA, 256 nt
Filed under: Hevea brasiliensis (rubber tree)
Lineage: Eukaryota; Viridiplantae; Streptophyta; Magnoliopsida; Malpighiales; Euphorbiaceae
Source: RNAcentral
CUCAUUUCUCAUUGUUACUAAGCUAUGUGACUGGAAUUUAUUGAAAUACUGUUGCACUAGAAAGAUAUGAGAUGCAUAUGAUAGACAUGUAAUGCAAACCAAAACAUGGCUUGUCACAGUUUGGGAUAUUAUUGGAUUUUAAGCACUGUAAUUUGUGUCAAAUUACUUAUAUCUGUUUGUAGCUUUUAGUUGUAAGAUAGUGUUGGGAGCAUUGAUGAAUUGAGUUGCAGUUAUGUGUGUGGAGCAUUGAUGGAUG